This 253-nucleotide ribosomal RNA is filed under the name uncultured bacterium. RNAcentral describes it as "partial 16S ribosomal RNA". It matches the Rfam family "Bacterial small subunit ribosomal RNA", at positions 524 to 776 of the family's 1533-position model. The record is from RNAcentral.
UACGGAGGGUGCAAGCGUUAAUCGGAUUUAUUGGGCGUAAAGGGCGCGUAGGCGGAAAUAUAAGUCAGAUGUGAAAUUUUUUGGCUCAACCUGAAAACUGCAUUUGAAACUAUAUUCCUUGAGGGUAGAUGGAGAAAACGGAAUUCCACGUGUAGCGGUGAAAUGCGUAGAUAUGUGGAAGAACACCAGUGGCGAAGGCGGUUUUCUAAUUUAUUCCUGACGCUGAGGCGCGAAAGCUGGGGGAGCAAACAGG